Prionailurus viverrinus (fishing cat) is the source of this 710-nucleotide long non-coding RNA. RefSeq lists it as uncharacterized. NCBI's taxonomy places the organism in Eukaryota, Metazoa, Chordata, Mammalia, Carnivora, Felidae. The record is from RefSeq and is a predicted model, not a curated record. The transcript is spliced from 3 exons.
CCCUAGAGUACAUCUGAGGUCCACUAUUUGAGAAAUGCUGUCUGAAAGAGUGAAGUCAGUCUAUGAAAACAUCUCUCAAAUGUGAGUCAUCUCUGCAGUUGAGAGCCUGGCUUGGUAGCUGGGCUGGGCUUCCUUCUCAUCAGAGCUUAGUGAACUCAGACAUCACUGUUGGACUCCUUGAAAAGAGAUGAGGACAGAAGGUGCCUGGAAGCAGCCCCUGAAGCCAGCUGGAAGAUAUGAAAACCGAAUCCCCACAAGGGAGAACUACUUGCUCAAGAUCACACAGAAAUGAUGGCUAAACCAUACAGAACCAAGGGCUUCUGACCACUAGUCCAAAGCCUAUUCUGCUUGGCACAGAGACCAAGAACAUUCACCUUGGGAACUGAUACAAUCUGAGCAUCCUCAAACUCUACUCACCCACAGGAAGACGUGAACACUCUAUAAUUCCAAAUAUUCUCCAAUAGACACCUUUCCUUUUUACCCAAAUUGCAAGCACUUCAAAAGAAAGGAUUGUGGCUUGACUACUUUGGACUUUUCAUUGUAUGCCACACAUUGUCCUUCAAGUUCUUAAGGGCAGAAAUUAUUGCCUAUAACACCUUGGAUUAAUAAGGGUAGGGGUGCCGGGUGGCUCAGGUCAUGAUCUCAUGGUUCGUGAGUUUGAGCCCCAUGUGGGGCUCUGUGGUGACAGCUCAGAGCCUGGAGCCUUCUUC